RNAcentral lists this unclassified non-coding RNA (295 nucleotides) under Hevea brasiliensis (rubber tree). The record is from RNAcentral. Lineage: Eukaryota; Viridiplantae; Streptophyta; Magnoliopsida; Malpighiales; Euphorbiaceae.
GUAAAAAGAACGCUACGAACUGAAUAUUGCAUAGACAAAAGAAGAUGAUCCUACAUUCUGAAAACUGCUGCUCAUUUGCAAAACUUUGCUGAUCAUAGUCAGGUCAACUGGCAUCAAAUAGUUUGCAACUUUUCAUCAGCAGACAUUUUCUACCAUGAAAAUCCAAUAACUAAAAAUUUUCACGCUGCAAAUGAUGGUUGUUUAUCUACUGUUUUACAUUUAAUUUCCCUUCCUUAAUAAUAACACAACAUACCAAAUGCAAGCGUCAAAUAAUUUCAAGUUUAAGAUCUGGAUA